GACGAACGCUGGCGGCGUGCCUAAUACAUGCAAGUCGAACGCAUUUUCUUUCACCGUAGCUUGCUACACCGAAAGAAAAUGAGUGGCGAACGGGUGAGUAACACGUGGGUAACCUGCCCAUCAGCGGGGGAUAACACUUGGAAACCGGUGCUAAUACCGCAUAAUUCCAUUUACUGCAUGGUAGAUGGAUGAAAGGCGCUUUUGCGUCACUGAUGGAUGGACCCGCGGUGCAUUAGCUAGUUGGUGGGGUAACGGCCUACCAAGGCUGCGAUGCAUAGCCGACCUGAGAGGGUGAUCGGCCACACUGGGACUGAGACACGGCCCAGACUCCUACGGGAGGCAGCAGUAGGGAAUCUUCGGCAAUGGACGCAAGUCUGACCGAGCAACGCCGCGUGAGUGAAGAAGGUGUUCGGAUCGUAAAACUCUGUUGUUAGAAAAGAACAAGGAUGAGAGUGGAAAGUUCAUCCCUUGACGGUAUCUAACCAGAAAGCCACGGCUAACUACGU
RNAcentral lists this ribosomal RNA (506 nucleotides) under uncultured bacterium. Its description in RNAcentral is "partial 16S ribosomal RNA". It matches the Rfam family "Bacterial small subunit ribosomal RNA", at positions 28 to 506 of the family's 1533-position model. The record is from RNAcentral.